UCGGGAAUUUUGGGCAAUGGGCGAAAGCCUGACCCAGCAACGCCGCGUGAAGGAUGAAGUAUUUCGGUAUGUAAACUUCGUAAGAAUAGGAAGAAUAAAUGACGGUACUAUUUGUAAGGUCCGGCUAACUACGUGCCAGCAGCCGCGGUAAUACGUAGGGACCAAGCGUUGUUCGGAUUUACUGGGCGUAAAGGGCGCGUAGGCGGUUUGUCAAGUCAGUUGUGAAAUCUCCGAGCUUAACUCGGAACGGUCAACUGAUACUGUCAAACUAGAGUACAGAAGGGGCAAUCGGAAUUCUUGGUGUAGCGGUGAAAUGCGUAGAUAUCAAGAGGAACACCUGAGGCGAAGGCGGGUUGCUGGGCUGAUACUGACGCUGAAGCGCGAAGGCUAGGGUAGCAAACGGGAUUAGAUACCCAUGUAGUCCCUGAGCGGGCUGGCAAGGCGCAU
This 447-nucleotide ribosomal RNA is filed under the name uncultured bacterium. Its description in RNAcentral is "bacterial SSU rRNA". It matches the Rfam family "Bacterial small subunit ribosomal RNA", at positions 355 to 825 of the family's 1533-position model. The record is from RNAcentral.